RNAcentral lists this small RNA (129 nucleotides) under uncultured Blautia sp. RNAcentral's name for it is "Clostridiales-1 RNA". It matches the Rfam family "Clostridiales-1 RNA", at positions 18 to 154 of the family's 166-position model. The record is from RNAcentral. Lineage: Bacteria; Bacillati; Bacillota; Clostridia; Lachnospirales; Lachnospiraceae.
AGUUGAGAGGUUUUUCAUGCUUGCAUGAAGAAACUUCUCAAUUUGAGGCCCGCCCCCGCAUGAGAAAGGAGCCCGAGAGGGCGGAUUUCAAAUGAGGGUAGGAUUUUGGGAGCCCGCAGGGCGGAUUAA